CCAACCUGCCGAUGACUCGGGGAUAGCCUUUCGAAAGAAAGGUUAAUACCCGAUGGCAUAGUUCUUCCGCAUGGUGGAACUAUUAAAGAAUUUCGGUCAUCGAUGGGGAUGCGUUCCAUUAGGUUGUUGGCGGGGUAACGGCCCACCAAGCCUUCGAUGGAUAGGGGUUCUGAGAGGAAGGUCC
Molecule: ribosomal RNA, 184 nt
Filed under: uncultured Bacteroidota bacterium
Lineage: Bacteria; Pseudomonadati; Bacteroidota
Description: uncultured Bacteroidetes bacterium partial 16S ribosomal RNA
Rfam family: Bacterial small subunit ribosomal RNA
Source: RNAcentral